This is a long non-coding RNA of Ananas comosus (pineapple), 414 nucleotides long. RefSeq lists it as uncharacterized. Lineage: Eukaryota; Viridiplantae; Streptophyta; Magnoliopsida; Poales; Bromeliaceae. The transcript is spliced from 3 exons. The record is from RefSeq and is a predicted model, not a curated record.
AUUCUGUUGACUAGGCACACUGUACAACACCAGAGGUGUACUAAUGCUUGUUAGCUUUUGUUUUCUAGUGGUACACUUGAAAUCAACUGCUCAAAGGACAUAAAGAUUCAGGGAGUUAUUGGGCCAUGCACAUCUUUGGAGAAGAAAGGAGCUCUGUGUUCUGAUUCCGUUGUUGGUCAAGGCAACACAACUGCGUGGAAAAUGUGUGGUCUUGAUAGGACUACUUCUCUGACCGUCUUUUUUGAUAUAUCACCAAGUGAUCGCUCAAGCCAACCAGGAUAUCCAAAUCCCAAUUUGUACAUUCAGUUUGUGACAAACUAUCAGCAUCCAGAAGGUCAAAUGAGGAUGACGGUUACAACCAUUACCCAGAAAUGGGUGGAUAGUUCUGCCGGAACAGAGGUUAGUUUUGGAUAU